Molecule: long non-coding RNA, 545 nt
Filed under: Salmo salar (Atlantic salmon)
Lineage: Eukaryota; Metazoa; Chordata; Actinopteri; Salmoniformes; Salmonidae
Description: lncRNA (ENSSSAG00000082151.1)
Source: RNAcentral
GUUAGGAAGGAUUAGGAACCAGGUAGGACAGUGGGUUAGGGUUUAGAGUGUGUUAGGAAGGAUUAGGAACCAGGUAGGACAGUGGGUUAGGGGGUUUAGAGUGUGUUAGGAAGGAUUAGGAACCAGGUAGGACAGUGGGUUAGGGUUUAGAGUGUGUUAGGAAGGAUUAGGAACCAGGUAGGACAGUGGGUUAGGGGUUUUAGAGUGUGUUAGGAAGGAUUAGGAACCAGGUAGGACAGUGGGUUAGGGGUUUAGAGUGUGUUAGGAAGGAUUAGGAACCAGGUAGGACAGUGGGUUAGGGGGUUUAGAGUGUGUUAGGAAGGAUUAGGAACCAGGUAGGACAGUGGGUUAGGGGGUUCAGAGUGUGUUAGGAAGGAUUAGGAACCAGGUAGGACAGUGGGUUAGGGGGUUUAGAGUGUGUUAGGAAGGAUUAGGAACCAGGUAGGACAGUGGGUUAGGGGUUUAGAGUGUGUUAGGAAGGAUUAGGAACCAGGUAGGACAGUGGGUUAGGGGUUUAGAGUGUGUUAGGAAGGAUUAGGAACCAG